Molecule: ribosomal RNA, 433 nt
Filed under: uncultured bacterium
Lineage: Bacteria
Description: partial 16S ribosomal RNA
Rfam family: Bacterial small subunit ribosomal RNA
Source: RNAcentral
AACGAACGCUGGCGGCAUGCCUAACACAUGCAAGUCGAACGAGACCUUCGGGUCUAGUGGCGCACGGGUGCGUAACGCGUGGGAACCUGCCCUUAGGUUCGGAAUAACUCCCCGAAAGGGGUGCUAAUACCGGAUAAUGUCUUCGGACCAAAGAUUUAUCGCCUUUGGAUGGGCCCGCGUUGGAUUAGCUAGUUGGUAGGGUAAAAGCCUACCAAGGCGACGAUCCAUAGCUGGUCUGAGAGGAUGAUCAGACACACUGGGACUGAGACACGGCCCAGACUCCUACGGGAGGCAGCAGUGGGGAAUAUUGGACAAUGGGCGAAAGCCUGAUCCAGCAAUGCCGCGUGAGUGAUGAAGGCCUUAGGGUUGUAAAGCUCCUUUACCCGGGAUGAUAAUGACAGUACCGGGAGAAUAAGCUCCGGCUAACUCCGUG